This 2146-nucleotide long non-coding RNA is filed under the name Homo sapiens (human). Its description in RNAcentral is "non-protein coding lnc-RGPD8-5:8". The record is from RNAcentral. Lineage: Eukaryota; Metazoa; Chordata; Mammalia; Primates; Hominidae.
AUCCCUAUUUCCGGCUUGCCAUGGCAGCGCUCGGGGUUUAACGGAAGUAAGCAAUGGAAAGUAUGGUGGUGCCUCGGGUCCAAAGAGAAUGCGCCGCUGAGUUGCGCGGCACCUGACGGGAUUGAGCCUCAGACACAAGCGCUCCAAAUCUCCGACUGUAGCUGGUGGGAAGCGCCUGCUGUUGCUGCAGCGUCUCAACAUGUUGUUCCCAUUUUCGUUGGGUGCUGUAGCGAUCUUUCAAGACUCUAGUCAAAAUGAGCAGAACAUUUUGCAGUUAAUCAUAGAGUUGAAGAUGAACGAGAAGAUGAACGAGAGCUACUUGAUUGUGAACUAGUAACGACCACUUGGAGUCGCAGUGUGUCUGUAAAAUGAUGAUGACAGUGACAUCAUAGAGGACAUAGUGCAAGUGAACAGUUUGAUACUGAGCUUGGAGCCUCAGUAGUUCUGGAUAAGUGAGAGCUGUACGGGAGGUUGUAACCAUGAGCUACCCUGGUUGGCAGUUGACAUCCGAGGACCAGCACUGGUCAUCGCACAGAAAGAAAACUUUACACCUUGAGAUCCCUCCAUUCUUCUUAAACUUCCAAGUGUAUGUUUGAUGGGAGAAGAGGGGAAGGGAUCAACAUUUAAAGGCUCUGGAAGGAGUCAGAUAACUGUUUUUGGCUUCAAAUGUAGAAUGAAUCCCUAGAUUUUCCUCUACUGAGAGAAUGAAAUCUUAACCCAUUCCGUUCCCUUGUUGGUACUCAGAAACGGAUACCCCAAAGAUGCAUUUUGACAUGCUGAAAGGCCUUAGAAGCUGCCUUAGAAGAUCUGUCUAACCUUGUCUUGUUGGUGUGUGGAAGUGGGAAUGCCCACAGGUGCACAGGGAGGGAGUUUCUGAAAUUAUCUGACCGAGAAAGCAAAAAAAAAAAAUCAAUUGUCUUAAACCCGGUUUCUAGGGAUCUCAUUAAAGAACUAGGAAAAAUUAACCACCUGUUAACAGAAAAACCAAACUGAAAUGUUUUAAAGAGAUUUAUUUUGAGCCAAUAUGAGUGACCAUGGCCUGGGGAACACAGGCUCAAGAGGUCCUGAGAAAGUGUGCCUGAGACAGUAGAAUUACAGUUUGGUUUUGUACAUUUUAGGUGGACAGGAGUUACAGACAAAGACAUAAAUCAGUACAUGGAAGGUACAGAUUGUGUUCAGCUGGGUGCAGUGGCUCACGCCUGUAAUCCCAGCACUUUGGGAGGUCGAGGUGGGCGAAUCGCUUGAGGUCAGGAGUUCGAGACCAGCCUGGCUAACAUGGUGAAACCGUGUCUCUACAAAAAAUACAAAAAAUUAGCCAGGGAUGGUGGCAGGCACCUGUAGUCCUGGAGCUACUCAGGAGGUUGAGGCACGAGAAUUGCUGCGGAGGUUGUAGUGAGCCGAGACCACACCACUGCACUCCAGCCUGGGUGACAGAGCAUGACUCUGUCUCAAAAAAAAAAAAAAAAUUCUACGGUAUUUUUAUAAUACAUUUUGUAGUACCACUUAUAACCACUUGGGUGCGUGGGUUGCCCAUUAAAUCAAACAGUUUACAGUUCACCCUUGAACAACAUGGAUUUAAACUGUACUGGUCCACUUAUACUCAGAUUUUCUUCUGCCGCUGUCACUCUGAGACAGCAAGACCAACCCCCCUUCCUCUCCUCAGCCUACUCAAUGUGAAAAGGACAAGGAUGAAGGCCUUUAUGAUGAUCCACUUCCACUUAAUGAAUAGUAUAUUUUAUCUUCCUUACGAUUUCCUUAAUAACAGUUUCUUCUCUCUACUUUACUAUUGCAAGAAUACAGUAUAUAAUGCAUAUAACAUACAAAAUAUGUGUUCAUCUAUGUCAUCAGUAAGACUUCAGAUCGACAGUAGGCUAUUAAUAGUUAAGUUUUGGGGGAGUCAAAAGUUAUAUGUGGAUUUUCUACUGCAUUGUUUAAGGGUCAACUGUAGAUUCAACGACUACCUAGGAUUGUAGAGUUGACUGAUAGCACUGGGACUGAUGAUAACAUCAUAACCUGUAAGAAGUGUCAACAAUGGUGAUGGACCCCCAGCAACCCUGGAGUGGGGAUGUCUAAAGAUAGAUGUCAUCCACCAGGCAGGAGUUGGUGCUGCCAGUGUGUCAUGUACUGCAGCCUCUUUUAUUUAUUU